CCCGCUGAACUUAAGCAUAUCAAUAAGCGGAGGAAAAGAAACUAACAAGGAUUCCCCUAGUAACGGCGAGUGAAGAGGGAAGAGCUCAAAUUUGAAAUCUGACGGCCUCCGGUCGUCCGAGUUGUAAUCUAUAGAGGUGUUUUCCGUGCUGGACCGUGUACAAGUCCCUUGGAACAGGGCGUCAUAGAGGGUGAGAAUCCCGUUUAUGACACGGACUCCCAGUGCUCUGUGAUACGCCUUCAAAGAGUCGAGUUGUUUGGGAAUGCAGCUCAAAAUGGGUGGUAAAUUCCAUCUAAAGCUAAAUACAGGCGAGAGACCGAUAGCGAACAAGUACCGUGAGGGAAAGAUGAAAAGAACUUUGGAAAGAGAGUUAAACAGUACGUGAAAUUGUUAAAAGGGAAACGCUUGAAGUCAGUCGCGUCUUCAGGGACUCAGCCUUGCUUCUGCUUGGUGCACUUCUCUGUUGAUGGGCCAACAUCAAUUUUGGGCGGCGGAUAAGGGCCUUGGGAAUGUGGCUCCUUCGGGAGUGUUAUAGCCCUCGGUCGUACACGUUGCCUGGGAUUGAGGAACGCAGCGAGCCCGCAAGGGUGGGGCCUCGGCCACUUUACUCGCUUAGGAUGUUGGCGUAAUGGCUUUAAACGACCCGUCUUGAAACACGG
RNAcentral lists this ribosomal RNA (659 nucleotides) under uncultured fungus. RNAcentral's name for it is "eukaryotic LSU rRNA". It matches the Rfam family "Eukaryotic large subunit ribosomal RNA", at positions 24 to 664 of the family's 3401-position model. Lineage: Eukaryota; Fungi. The record is from RNAcentral.